This is a long non-coding RNA of Ailuropoda melanoleuca (giant panda), 144 nucleotides long. RefSeq lists it as uncharacterized. The transcript has 3 exons. NCBI's taxonomy places the organism in Eukaryota, Metazoa, Chordata, Mammalia, Carnivora, Ursidae. The record is from RefSeq and is a predicted model, not a curated record.
GGCGCUGUCUGGUCGUGGCUUUUUCAGAGUGUUACAGAGGAGGAGGGCCUGCCUCUUGCCAAGGUGACCCCAGCAAGCAGCGAAUGCGGUGACCCCGGCAACAAGCAAAAGUGGUACAUAUUCUGGAGUCAGCCUCUUCCUGAG